Molecule: ribosomal RNA, 1532 nt
Filed under: gut metagenome
Description: bacterial SSU rRNA
Rfam family: Bacterial small subunit ribosomal RNA
Source: RNAcentral
AGAGUUUGAUCCUGGCUCAGGAUGAACGCCGGCGGUGUGCCUAAUACAUGCAAGUCGUACGCUGGCCCAACUGAUUGAUGGUGCUUGCACCUGAUUGACGAUGGAUCACCAGUGAGUGGCGGACGGGUGAGUAACACGUAGGUAACCUGCCCCGGAGCGGGGAUAACAUUUGGAAACAGAUGCUAAUACCGCAUAACAACAAAAGCACAUGGCUUUUGUUUGAAAGAUGGCUUUGGCUAUCACUCUGGGAUGGACCUGCGGUGCAUUAGCUAGUUGGUAAGGUAACGGCUUACCAAGGCGAUGAUGCAUAGCCGAGUUGAGAGACUGAUCGGCCACAAUGGAACUGAGACACGGUCCAUACUCCUACGGGAGGCAGCAGUAGGGAAUCUUCCACAAUGGGCGCAAGCCUGAUGGAGCAACACCGCGUGAGUGAAGAAGGGUUUCGGCUCGUAAAGCUCUGUUGUUGGAGAAGAACGUGCGUGAGAGUAACUGUUCACGUGACGGUAUCCAACCAGAAAGUCACGGCUAACUACGUGCCAGCAGCCGCGGUAAUACGUAGGUGGCAAGCGUUAUCCGGAUUUAUUGGGCGUAAAGCGAGCGCAGGCGGUUGCUUAGGUCUGAUGUGAAAGCCUUCGGCUUAACCGAAGAAGUGCAUCGGAAACCGGGCGACUUGAGUGCAGAAGAGGACAGUGGAACUCCAUGUGUAGCGGUGGAAUGCGUAGAUAUAUGGAAGAACACCAGUGGCGAAGGCGGCUGUCUGGUCUGCAACUGACGCUGAGGCUCGAAAGCAUGGGUAGCGAACAGGAUUAGAUACCCUGGUAGUCCAUGCCGUAAACGAUGAGUGCUAGGUGUUGGAGGGUUUCCGCCCUUCAGUGCCGGAGCUAACGCAUUAAGCACUCCGCCUGGGGAGUACGACCGCAAGGUUGAAACUCAAAGGAAUUGACGGGGGCCCGCACAAGCGGUGGAGCAUGUGGUUUAAUUCGAAGCUACGCGAAGAACCUUACCAGGUCUUGACAUCUUGCGCUAACCUUAGAGAUAAGGCGUUCCCUUCGGGGACGCAAUGACAGGUGGUGCAUGGUCGUCGUCAGCUCGUGUCGUGAGAUGUUGGGUUAAGUCCCGCAACGAGCGCAACCCUUGUUACUAGUUGCCAGCAUUAAGUUGGGCACUCUAGUGAGACUGCCGGUGACAAACCGGAGGAAGGUGGGGACGACGUCAGAUCAUCAUGCCCCUUAUGACCUGGGCUACACACGUGCUACAAUGGACGGUACAACGAGUCGCAAGCUCGCGAGAGUAAGCUAAUCUCUUAAAGCCGUUCUCAGUUCGGACUGUAGGCUGCAACUCGCCUACACACGAAGUCGGAAUCGCUAGUAAUCGCGGAUCAUGCCGGGGGCCUUGUACACACCGCCCGUCACACCAUGGGAGUUUGUAACGCCCAAAGUCGGUGGCCUAACCUUUAUGGAGGGAGCCGCCUAAGGCGGACAGAUGACUGGGGUGAAGUCGUAACAAGGUAGCCGUAGGAGAACCUGCGGCUG